UAAGGAAUAUUGCUCAAUGGGAGAAAUCCUGAAGCAGCAACGCCGCGUGGAGGAUGAAGGGUCUAUGACUUGUAAACUUCUGUAAAGAAGGAAAAAAUUCCCAUUAGAUGGGAGAUGAUGGUACUUCUGGAGUAAGCCCCGGCUAACUACGUGCCAGCAGCCGCGGUAAUACGUAGGGGGCAAGCGUUGUCCGGAUUUACUGGGUGUAAAGGGUGCUCAGGCGGAUUUGUAAGUCAGAGGUGAAAUCUUACAGCUUAACUGUGAAACUGCCUUUGAUACUGCAAGCCUAGAGUAUGGAAGAGAGUGAUGGAAUAUCUGGUGUAGCAGUGAAAUGCGUAGAUAUCAGAUAGAACACCAAUGGCGAAGGCAGUCACUUGGUCCAUUACUGACGCUAAAGCACGAAAGCGUGGGUAGCAAACA
RNAcentral lists this ribosomal RNA (420 nucleotides) under uncultured bacterium. Its description in RNAcentral is "bacterial SSU rRNA". It matches the Rfam family "Bacterial small subunit ribosomal RNA", at positions 355 to 774 of the family's 1533-position model. The record is from RNAcentral.